CCUGUGGCAGUCCAGUGGUUAGGACUCGGCGCUUUCACAGCCAGGGCCCAGGUUCGAUCCCUGGUCAGGGAA
This 72-nucleotide transfer RNA is filed under the name Bos taurus (domestic cattle). It matches the Rfam family "tRNA". From Rfam's summary of the family: Transfer RNA (tRNA) molecules are approximately 80 nucleotides in length. Lineage: Eukaryota; Metazoa; Chordata; Mammalia; Artiodactyla; Bovidae. RNAcentral also lists the same sequence under 3 other names. The record is from Rfam by way of RNAcentral.